RNAcentral lists this ribosomal RNA (497 nucleotides) under uncultured bacterium. Its description in RNAcentral is "partial 16S ribosomal RNA". It matches the Rfam family "Bacterial small subunit ribosomal RNA", at positions 28 to 507 of the family's 1533-position model. The record is from RNAcentral.
GAUGAACGCUGGCGGCGUGCCUAAUACAUGCAAGUCGAGCGGACGGACGCGACUCUUGCGUCGCUGAUGUUAGCGGCGCACGGGUGUGUAACGCGUGUAUAACCUCCCUGUAAUACGGGGAUCACUUCGGGAAACCGGCUCUAACACCGGAUGAUAUUCUGCACCGCAUGGGGCGAAAGUGAGUGACGGUCGUUGGGGCACUUAUAGAGGGAUCCGCGCUGCAUUGGAUAGUUGUUAAGGUAACGGCCUACCAAGGCAACGAUGCAUAGGCGACCUGGUAGAGUGGUCGGCGACACUGGAACGGGGACAGGGACAAGAGGACUACGGGAGGCAGCAGUAGGGAAUCGUCGGCAGUGGGCGGGAGCAUGACGGAGCAACGCCGCGUGAGUGAUGGCGGUGUUCGGAUCGUAAAAAUCGGUUAUUAGGGAAGAACAUAUGUGUAAGUAACUGUGCACAUCUUGACGGUACCUAGUAAGAAAGCCACGGCUAACUACGUG